UACGUAGGGGGCAAGCGUUAUCCGGAUUUACUGGGUGUAAAGGGAGCGUAGACGGCGAAGCAAGUCUGGUGUGAAAACCCGGGGCUCAACCCCGGGCCUGCAUUGGAAACUGUUGACCUAGAGUGCUGGAGAGGUAAGUGGAAUUCCUAGUGUAGCGGUGAAAUGCGUAGAUAUUAGGAGGAACACCAGUGGCGAAGGCGGCUUACUGGACAGUGACUGACGUUGAGGCUCGAAAGCGUGGGGAGCAAACAGG
Molecule: ribosomal RNA, 253 nt
Filed under: uncultured bacterium
Lineage: Bacteria
Description: partial 16S ribosomal RNA
Rfam family: Bacterial small subunit ribosomal RNA
Source: RNAcentral